ACGAGUUUGAUCCUGGCUCAGAUUGAACGCUGGCGGAAUGCUUUACACAUGCAAGUCGAACGGUAGAGGGGGCAACCCUUGAGAGUGGCGAACGGGUGAGUAAUAUAUCGGAACGUGCCCGGUCGUGGGGGAUAACGUAGCGAAAGCUACGCUAAUACCGCAUACGAUCUACGGAUGAAAGCGGGGGAUCGCAAGACCUCGCGCGAUUGGAGCGGCCGAUAUCAGAUUAGGUAGUUGGUGAGGUAAAGGCUCACCAAGCCGACGAUCUGUAGCUGGUCUGAGAGGACGACCAGCCACACUGGGACUGAGACACGGCCCAGACUCCUACGGGAGGCAGCAGUGGGAAUUUGGACAAUGGGCGCAAGCCUGAUCCAGCAAUGCCGCGCGCAGGAUGAAGGCCUUCGGGUUGUAAACUGCUUUGUACGGAACGAAACGGUGAGCUCUAAUACAGUUUGCUAAUGACGGUACCGUAAGAAUAAGCACCGGCUAACUACGUG
RNAcentral lists this ribosomal RNA (497 nucleotides) under uncultured bacterium. RNAcentral describes it as "bacterial SSU rRNA". It matches the Rfam family "Bacterial small subunit ribosomal RNA", at positions 1 to 507 of the family's 1533-position model. The record is from RNAcentral.